AUUGAACGCUGGCGGUAUGCUUAACACAUGCAAGUCGAACGGCAGCAUGGUCUAGCUUGCUAGACUGAUGGCGAGUGGCGGACGGGUGAGUAACGCGUAGGAAUAUGCCUUGAAGAGUGGGACAACUUGGGGAAUCUCAAGCUAAUACCGCAUGUACUCGAGAGAGUAAAGCUGGGGACCUUUAGGCCUGGCGCUUUAAGAUUAGCCUGCGUCCGAUUAGCUAGUUGGUAGGGUAAAGGCCUACCAAGGCGACGAUCGGUAGCUGGUCUGAGAGGAUGAUCAGCCACACUGGAACUGAGAGACGGUCCAGACUCCUACGGGAGGCAGCAGUGGGGAAUAUUGGACAAUGGGGGGAACCCUGAUCCAGCAAUGCCGCGUGUGUGAGGAAGGCCUGAGGGUUGUAAAGCACUUUCAGUGGGGAGGAGGUUUGGAAGGUUAAGAGCUAUUCAAAUGGACGUUACCCACAGAAGAAGCACCGGCUAACUCCGUGCCAGCAGCCGCCGCCG
RNAcentral lists this ribosomal RNA (506 nucleotides) under uncultured bacterium. RNAcentral describes it as "partial 16S ribosomal RNA". It matches the Rfam family "Bacterial small subunit ribosomal RNA", at positions 30 to 523 of the family's 1533-position model. The record is from RNAcentral.